Molecule: long non-coding RNA, 5425 nt
Filed under: Sus scrofa (pig)
Lineage: Eukaryota; Metazoa; Chordata; Mammalia; Artiodactyla; Suidae
Description: lncRNA (ENSSSCG00030061632.1)
Source: RNAcentral
GCAAGGCCUGGACUAGACGCAGACGGCGUAGUCAACCGAUAAUUGUGGACAACUGAAUAAACGAAGAGCAGAGUGGCUGCAGAGCAGGUACAGAAUUCCAUUUUUAAUCCCAGAGCUCAGACUCCAGAACUAUCUUCUGUUGUACAGGAGGAAUACCCCACGUGCCCUUUUCCUUUCUGCCGUUCCCUCGAUGCGGUGGCAAGAGUGAGUACUGGUUUUGUUGCCAGAACUCGGCCUCUGCUCACCUGUGUGGAAUAGAAAUGCAGAGACAGAGUUUUGGGUGAAGGAGAAAAAAAUAGCUUUAUUGCUUUGCCAGCAAAGGAGGGUCACAGCAGGCUAAUGCCUCAAAGACUGGUCCCCCCUUGGGAGAGAUCGGGAGGUGGGGUUUUAUAGUUUGGGGGUGAACAAUAGGGCUGCAGAUAAGGAUCAGGAUAGAGGCAAGCUUGCCUUGUUUUCAAAGCUGGUGUUCAGGGGUCUGGUAGUCUUCUUUCUGGAAUAAAGAAGGCUUGGUUCACAUCCUCCAUUUCUUGGGGGUGUUAGUUCUGCAGAAGAGCUCAGAGAUAUUGUCAUCUACUUGCCUUGAGGAGGCACCAGGACCUGCCCCCAAAUGGCACUAUUGUUUCUUGAUGGCUCCUCCCUGGUCUCUGCAUUCCCUCCCUUCCCUGAUGAGCAAUGGCUUGAAACCUGCCCCUUGGAACACAGGGAAGGUCAUGGAGGCUGAAGUUUAUCCCCUAGAAACAAGUAAUGGGGGACCCAGAAAGGCUUGUGUGCCCAGGAGCCCACAGGGCCCUGCUUGGUUCCAGUUUCUAAAAGAUUGCAAGAGACUUUGUAGUAAAUCUUCCCAGUCCCUCCAGAAAAAGGGAAAAUUUGAUUCCCAGGAUCUAGCAGGAAGCUAAGAGCAGUCUAUGGAUGCUUAGCUGUUCUCAGUUAUGAAUAUCAUGACAAACUCUUUUAUGAUACCAUUUUAUAAUGUUUGAGUCUCGUAAAAGGAUGUGAACUUCGAAGGCAGAUGACAUAACAUUCAUUCUGCUCAUUCAUGGCUGCACGACGUUGUACAAGUCACUUCCUCUUUCUGCCUCAUGGGGGGAAAUAAUAAUCCCUUUGAGAUGAUGGUGGUAGGACCGAGGAAAAACUAUGUUGAUGUACGAACAACUCUGCAUCUAUAUUAACAUGUGUUUGGAGUGUUGCUUUGUACGUAGAAAACAUUCCACAAAUAUUAACCCUCGUCGCCGUCCUCCUUAUCAUCCUUAUCAUGUAACAGUCAGUUGUUUCCCAAACCCAGUUAACUUUUUACUUGUAGAGUUAAAAUGCCAGAGGUCAUGAAGUAGUUCUUUAAACAAAUAGGACACAUUCAAGGCUAUCCCUUGAAUAAUCCCUCUUGCUUACUUGCGUUAUGCUGCAUCUCUUGACUGGAAGGGAAAAGGAAGAAUGACCAACUUUUUUUUCUUUUUUUUUUUGCUGGAAAUGGUGCAUAACUGUGGCUUUGAACAUGCAAAUGCAUCAUUCACAGGAAGGUCACUCAGCAUGUGUCCUCAAGAGGGGAGGGAGGGUUAAGUGCUGCUGCUUUGGACUGUACAAAUCCCAGGGGCCAAAUUAUGUAAAUUCUUCCAGCAGUCGGGAGAGUGUCCUGCCAACUAGUGGACAUAAUAAAUGUUGUUGAUGUUGUAAUGAAGAUACUUAAGUUUCUGAGAAAAUGGCUUCUUUCUUCAGGUGAUUGCUUUAGGACCAAAGUCUUUCCUUGAAGGUGAAGGGGAUUUAUGUUUUUUACCCAGACACGUAAAUUAAGUGAAAAACAUCCCAUCUGAGGCAAGGAAAGACUCUUCUCUCACGCUGAGGUAUUCAUAGGCUCUGUCGUAGGCAGCCUCCCCAAGAAAUCUUUUAGUAAGAAACCCAACUUAGUGUGCUGACUGAUUCUCUUCCCACCUUUUCAAAAACUGUAUUUUCUUGCAAAUACUUACGAAGUCAUGAUGAACUGGGAAAACCUGCACACAAAUAAGAAUAUGUAAUUAUGGUCAAGCAGGUAAUCCAUUUUGUAUGGAUGUAAUUCCAUGCCACAGAUAAGAAAUGUCACCCAGGGUAGCUUCAUUAUGGACAGAGGUGUCAGGAUCAGCUCUGCGGCAGCGACACACUUCAAAGCCUCAGUGGCUUAACCAGAAGAGUUUAUUUCCUGCUCAUGCAAAUUCCACUCCAGGUUUGUAGCUCUGCGUGGCCACUUUCUUGAAAUGCCGACGUAGAGAUUCAUAUCUUUCUCAUCUUGGGUCCCACCAUCUCAUUAUGUGUCUUUGGUGCUCAUCACUCGAGGGAAAGACAGAGCCUAUAAAAUUCAUACCCAUUCUGCUAUGCUUUCUUUGACUUGCUGAAAACUGUGGGUCACAACUCGUCAUAAUACCCCCAUCUAACUGCAAGGAAAAUGGAAAAGGCUCUGGGCAGGGCCGGGGGGGGGGGUCAUAUAAAUAUCCGUGAUCAAUAGUGUAAAGAUACAAUUACCAGACUAUAUUCUUAGAAAUAUUAGAGCGAUAAGCUGUUCUGAAGAAAACAGCAAAAGGCCAGAGACAUUCGAUUAACCAGAACGCUAUUGCUAAUGUGUUCCUUUGCAUUCCUAACUUAGAAAUUCCCAGGGCACCUUAGCAUGUUGUCACCUCUGAGAGACCACUCUACAAACAGGCAUGAUUAUCCUGGGUUAAUGCUGAUGCAUUUUGGUUAUUUUUUUUUCUUUUUUUGCAAACUCAACUGACCAUAGGCUAAUUCCUCUCCACAACACCCAUGACCGUAAUGCACUGAACACUCAUUAGACAAAUAUUACAUUAGGUGUCUUGAAACACUAAAAUGAAAACCCCAAGAGGCACUUAAUACAUCUUUAUUGACAGGACACUAAACAAAUGGAUGAGGAGUCACUUUUCAAAGUCAGCGACACACAUUAAAUCAAACUUUUGGGAACCAGAUUUCUACCUAGCACCUGUAUUAAAGUUGAAAAAUAAAAAUCCUAGGUCAAGUAACCAGCUUUUGCUCACAAGAUGCUACACAUCACUCUUGAUGGGUUUUGUUGUUACUAUUUUUUUCCCUGUGCUGACUUGAGUGGGGUUUUUUGAGUGUCAUCAGCCGCAGCUCAUCUGCCCAAGAUUUCACAGUGGAAUCAGCAGUGUGCUAUGCUCAGCAUGUUCAGUGCAUCCCACACUUCCAUCCACACAGGAAUUUAGGCAUGAAAAACAAACCCCCCAUUGUGAUGGAGAGCAACGAAAUGAUAUGUUGUAUCAGCUCUGCUGGAUGGUUUUCCCUGCUAAAAAAACCUCGCAGACUCACCGUAGGGAGACUCAGUGCUAGUGUACAGAUGCAGUGCUAAUGUACAUUGCACAUAAUCCAGUUCGGUGAGGGUUUGAGCAAUGAUCAGUGUUGUGAUGGGAGCUCAUGGUUUGCCUUGGGUCCGGAGAGUGGCUGGUUGUUGGCAGCGAACCCCGGAACCUGGGAGGAGAAAACAAUACAGAAAACAAUGUUAUUUGCCGUCUAAUUUUCUAUAAUCCAGAAGGGUGGUUAUGCUGAAUGAUAACACACAGAGGGGAGAUUAAAUAUAAUAACACACUGUUCACACUCUGCAUCAGAAGUUAUUACUUUUGGCACCGUAGAGGCUGAUGCUUGGCACUGGGCAUUGCCAGGAGGUGUUAAGUGGGUAAGUGGUGCUAAGGAAUAGAGUCGUCUGUGGGGAAAAUGACAGUAAUGAAUUGCUUGUAAUGCUGUGAAAACUCAAUGAAUUUGAUUAAACACAGAUGGCAAAACUGUUUCCUGGACGACCAUUGGACACAACCGUUUAUGCUGACACACGCUCUCUCCCAGUGACAAGUCUGACAGGAAGACUGCUGCUUCUGCUGCCAAUUUGUGGAGCAUCUUGACAAAAAGUGACCAAGGGGAUGAAAAGAGCUCUGCCUCCCCCCAUCCCCACCCAGCCUCCCUUAAUCGGCAGGUUCACUCACACACAGUUGUCUCACGUGGUUGGAAGGUUUUCUAGAAGGGGCAAGUGAGCAUUAGAAGUUGCCUCGUCCUGGGAGACAAAUGUGUUUCUAUAACGUUUCUGAUAGAUCUUACUCUGCAGUCUCAGGGACCACACCACCUGUAGUAGGAUAAGGGGCAUAUACUGUCCAGGGGACUUCGUGUGAAUAAGAUAGGUGAUGACAGUGGUACAAAGCAGUGACACGUUUGAAGGUUGCAGGCUCGUGUCAAAAGUACGUGGAGAAAGAGAUUGGAAUGGGGAGGUGGAUGGAUUUUGGUGGCCCCACACCAAGUGUGGUUCUGGGCCCUGUGAGGAUAUGCCAGUGGGUGCUUGAUGUUCCUGAUAAGACAGAUGCAGAAAGUGAGAGCAAGCACUUAGAAAUACUCGGCUGUUUGAUAAUUUUGUUGCGCCUAAUAGUAACCAAACACACUUGGUAUUAUUUGUGCCUUCUUACAUCUUUACUUUUCCGGUAAUUCCUUUUUAUUGUACAUUACGAAACUUCUGGGAUGGAUGGGGAGUUUCACCACAGACGGUUUGAGAAUUAAGGAAUUCGAGUGGCAGAGGCAGAUUUAGUCCGCAUUUCUUACAAGGUUUAGGGUUGCAAGCAAGUUACUAAUCACGCUACAUUUUGGUUUUCGCAACAUUUGACAAGUAGAUUGUAUCAUUAUUAAAUAACUGGAUAUACCAGGAGCCGCUCAUGUAAACAAUUGAAAAUAAUUAAGUAUUUAGAUCGUGCACGCCUGCUAACUUGUGUAUUGCACAAAGUAAAUGAUCAAUUGAGUUCAGUCUUGUGGAAGAAUGAACGGGUCAGGUAACACACAGACUUGCUUCUUUCCAGUGUUCAGUUCAUACAGCGAAUAUUUGUUAAGAAUUGGCCUUGUUGGAGUUCCCAUUGUGGCACAUCAGAAACGAAUCCGACUAGUAUCCAUGAGGAUGCAGGUUGCACCCCUGGCCUCGCUCGGUGGGUCGGAGAUCUGGUGUUGCUGUGAGCUGUGGUGUAGGUCCCAGAUGUGGCUGUCCCGUGUGGCUGUGGCUGUGGUCCCAGAUGUGGCUGUCCCGUGUGGCUGUGGCUGUGGCAUAGACCAGCAGCUAUAGUCCCUAUUCAAUCCCUAGCCUGGGAACUUCCAUGUGCCACGCAGUUGCAGUCCUAAAAGAAUUAUCUUUGCUCCAGACAUAGUUCCAACUGCUGAGCAUGUGCAAGUGAAUAAAAAUUGCAACAACAGGAGUUUCUGUCGUGGCUCAGUGGUUAACGAAUCCGACUAGGAACCAUGGGGUUGCAGGUUUGAUCCCUGGGUUGCUCAGUGGGUUGAGGGUCUGGCGUUGCCAUGAGUUGUGGUGUAGGUUGAAGACGCAGCUCGGAUCCCGCAUUGCUGUGGCUCUGGCGUAGGCCAGUGGCUAUAGCUCCGAUUCGACCCCUAGCCUGAGUAGUGGCCCUAGAAAAAG